RNAcentral lists this ribosomal RNA (459 nucleotides) under uncultured bacterium. RNAcentral describes it as "partial 16S ribosomal RNA". It matches the Rfam family "Bacterial small subunit ribosomal RNA", at positions 338 to 795 of the family's 1533-position model. The record is from RNAcentral.
CCUACGGGCGUCAGCAGUGAGGAAUAUUGGUCAAUGGGCGCGCGCCUGAACCAGCCAAGUAGCGUGAAGGAUGACUGCCCUACGGGUUGUAAACUUCUUUUAAAAGGAAUAACUUGAGGCACGUGUGCCUUUUUGUAUGUACUUUAUGAAUAAGGAUCGGCUAACUCCGUGCCCGCAGCCGCGGUAAUACGGAGGAUCCGAGCGUGAUCCGGAUUUAUUGGGGUUAAAGGGAGAGUAGAUGGGUUGUUAAGUAAGUUGUGAAAGGUUGAGGCUCAACCGUAAAAUUGCACUUGAUACUGGCAGCCUUGAGUACAGUAGAGGUAGGCGGAAUGCGUGGUGUAGCGGUGAAAUGCUUAGAUAGCACGAAGAACUCCGAUUGCGAAGGCAGCCUACUAAACUGCCACUGACAUUGAUGCUCGAAAGUGUGGGUAUCAAACAGGAUUAGAUACCCCAGUAGUC